CGUGCCCUACGGGACGCAGCAGUGGGGAAUAUUGCACAAUGGGGGAAACCCUGAUGCAGCGACGCCGCGUGAGUGAAGAAGUAUUUCGGUAUGUAAAGCUCUAUCAGCAGGGAAGAAGAAAGACGGUACCUGACUAAGAAGCCCCGGCUAACUACGUGCCAGCAGCCGCGGUAAUACGUAGGGGGCAAGCGUUAUCCGGAUUUACUGGGUGUAAAGGGAGCGUAGGCGGAGAAGCGAGUCUGAAGUGAAAGCCCGUGGCUUAACCACG
This 268-nucleotide ribosomal RNA is filed under the name uncultured bacterium. Its description in RNAcentral is "partial 16S ribosomal RNA". It matches the Rfam family "Bacterial small subunit ribosomal RNA", at positions 333 to 617 of the family's 1533-position model. The record is from RNAcentral.